UAUGAAGGGUGCAAACGUUGCUCGGAAUUAUUGGGCGUAAAGCGCACGUAGGCGGCUUGGCAAGUCGGAUGUGAAAUCCCUCGGCUCAACCAAGGAAGUGCAUCCGAAACUGCCGAGCUUGAGUACUUAAGAGGAUCGCGGAAUUCCCGGUGUAGAGGUGAAAUUCGUAGAUAUCGAGAGGAACACCAGUGGCGAAGGCGAGUCCCUGGACAACACCUGACACUGAGGCACGAAAGCUAGGGGAGCAAACAGG
This 253-nucleotide ribosomal RNA is filed under the name uncultured bacterium. RNAcentral describes it as "partial 16S ribosomal RNA". It matches the Rfam family "Bacterial small subunit ribosomal RNA", at positions 524 to 776 of the family's 1533-position model. The record is from RNAcentral.